RNAcentral lists this long non-coding RNA (418 nucleotides) under Fragaria vesca (wild strawberry). RNAcentral describes it as "long non-coding RNA (FVES_LNC001095)". The record is from RNAcentral. Lineage: Eukaryota; Viridiplantae; Streptophyta; Magnoliopsida; Rosales; Rosaceae.
AGGUGAUGUGAUAUUUGGUGAAUGGUAUAUUUGUGUGCUACUUCAGGUCAGAGUAUGUUUUAAUGCUGCUUCAAAUAAAUAAAAUUUGGAUACAUAGCAUUGACAUAAGUUGAAUAAGUGAGAGGUGUGUCACAUUGAAUUAGGAAAGGAAUAAAAAAAUGGGGUAUUUGGUUGCAAUUAGAAUCCAACUGUUUGAGGAUAUUUGAGAUACUUUGUAAAUACUAGGAUCAAUUUUGUUGCUUAUGUCAUAAAUCUGUACAUGAGACUUGCAUAUUUAUACAAGAGUAGGUUGAUAUGUUUUGUGAAUGAAUGAGAGCCGUGUAACAUUGAAGCAAAAUUGAUACAAGUUAGAAAAAAGAAAUGCCAUAUUCGAUUACAAUUUGGAAGCAAUGGAUUAUUUAAGAUGCUUUGAAAAACA